Molecule: ribosomal RNA, 396 nt
Filed under: uncultured bacterium
Lineage: Bacteria
Description: partial 16S ribosomal RNA
Rfam family: Bacterial small subunit ribosomal RNA
Source: RNAcentral
AUACGUAGGUGGCAAGCGUUGUCCGGAAUUAUUGGGCGUAAAGCGCGCGCAGGUGGUUCCUUAAGUCUGAUGUGAAAGCCCCCGGCUCAACCGGGGAGGGUCAUUGGAAACUGGGGAACUUGAGUGCAGAAGAGGAUAGUGGAAUUCCAAGUGUAGCGGUGAAAUGCGUAGAGAUUUGGAGGAACACCAGUGGCGAAGGCGACUGUAUGGUCUGUAACUGACACUGAGGCGAGAAAGCGUGGGGAGCAAACAGGAUUAGAUACCCGGGUAGUCACGCCGUAAACGAUGAGUGCUAAGUGUUGGGGGGUUUCCGCCCCUCAGUGCUGCAGCUAACGCAUUAAGCACUCCGCCUGGGGAGUACGGUCGCAAGACUGAAACUCAAAGGAAUUGACGGGG